Molecule: transfer RNA, 74 nt
Filed under: Candidatus Roizmanbacteria bacterium
Lineage: Bacteria; Candidatus Roizmaniibacteriota
Description: tRNA-Val
Rfam family: tRNA
About the family: Transfer RNA (tRNA) molecules are approximately 80 nucleotides in length. Their secondary structure includes four short double-helical elements and three loops (D, anti-codon, and T loops).
Source: RNAcentral
GACCGCUUAGCUCAGUUGGCUAGAGCGUUGCAUUCACAUUGCAAAGGUCGGGGGUUCAAGCCCCUCAGCGGUCA